Molecule: ribosomal RNA, 253 nt
Filed under: uncultured bacterium
Lineage: Bacteria
Description: partial 16S ribosomal RNA
Rfam family: Bacterial small subunit ribosomal RNA
Source: RNAcentral
UACGUAGGGUGCGAGCGUUAAUCGGAAUUACUGGGCGUAAAGUGUGCGCAGGCGGCCGCGCAAGUCGAGUGUGAAAGCCCCGAGCUUAACUUGGGAAUUGCGCUCGAAACUACGUGGCUGGAGUGUGGCAGAGGAAGGUGGAAUUCCACGUGUAGCGGUGAAAUGCGUAGAGAUGUGGAGGAACACCGAUGGCGAAGGCAGCCUUCUGGGCCAACACUGACGCUCAUGCACGAAAGCGUGGGGAGCAAACAGG